GACGAACGCUGGCGGCGUGCCUAAUACAUGCAAGUAGAACGCUGAAGAGAGGAGCUUGCUCUUCUUGGAUGAGUUGCGAACGGGUGAGUAACGCGUAGGUAACCUGCCUUGUAGCGGGGGAUAACUAUUGGAAACGAUAGCUAAUACCGCAUAACAAUGGAUGACACAUGUCAUUUAUUUGAAAGGGGCAAUUGCUCCACUACAAGAUGGACCUGCGUUGUAUUAGCUAGUAGGUGAGGUAACGGCUCACCUAGGCGACGAUACAUAGCCGACCUGAGAGGGUGAUCGGCCACACUGGGACUGAGACACGGCCCAGACUCCUACGGGAGGCAGCAGUAGGGAAUCUUCGGCAAUGGGGGCAACCCUGACCGAGCAACGCCGCGUGAGUGAAGAAGGUUUUCGGAUCGUAAAGCUCUGUUGUAAGUCAAGAACGAGUGUGAGAGUGGAAAGUUCACACUGUGACGGUAGCUUACCAGAAAGGGACGGCUAACUACGUGCCAGCAGCCGCGGUAAUACGUAGGUCCCGAGCGUUGUCCGGAUUUAUUGGGCGUAAAGCGAGCGCAGGCGGUUUGAUAAGUCUGAAGUUAAAGGCUGUGGCUCAACCAUAGUUCGCUUUGGAAACUGUCAAACUUGAGUGCAGAAGGGGAGAGUGGAAUUCCAUGUGUAGCGGUGAAAUGCGUAGAUAUAUGGAGGAACACCGGUGGCGAAAGCGGCUCUCUUGGUCUGUAACUGACGCUGAGGCUCGAAAGCGUGGGAAGCGAACAGG
RNAcentral lists this ribosomal RNA (766 nucleotides) under uncultured Streptococcus sp. RNAcentral's name for it is "bacterial SSU rRNA". It matches the Rfam family "Bacterial small subunit ribosomal RNA", at positions 28 to 776 of the family's 1533-position model. Lineage: Bacteria; Bacillati; Bacillota; Bacilli; Lactobacillales; Streptococcaceae. The record is from RNAcentral.